UAGAUUUUAGCUUCUUUGACUACUUCUUUAUCCAUGUAUCUAUUUUUAUUAGUCUAUUUGAUUUGUUUUGUUUUAUGUACAUAUAUCAAUUAGGUUACCACCACACCCUCACUUCUUCUUCUACCUCCUUUUCUCUCUGCCUCCAAUUUGCCCUAAAUCUAACCCCUACACAACACAUCAUCGCACCUCUAUCAUCGCUCCUCCACCUCCACCGUCACACCAUGUCCACCGUCACAUAGCCAUCACCGUAGCACAAGUGCACAACCUCCACCGGCGCACCACCUAUGGCUUAUUGAAGAAAGCUCACGAUCUCCUGGUGGAGAUGGAGAUAGAUGAUGGCGGUGGUGGUGGAGAUUGAUGGUGGUGGAGCUGGUGGAGGUGGUGAUGGAUGGUGGUUGUUAUGGCAUGAGAGAGACAGAGAGAGGAGGUAGAAGAAGAAGUGGGGGGUUUGGUGAGAACCACAAAAGAUUAUUGUUUUAAUAAAAGCUUUAAAUAAAAAUAAAAAAAUGACCAUAUUGCCCCUGAGAAAAAGGACAAAAUACCAGGAUUUAAUUUGAGAAAUAUGACCUGAUUUAUUUUUGGACCAAAAUGACAAUAAAAGUAAAACCACAGGACCCAGAUGCAAAAGGUUUCAUAUUUGGACUAAAGUAGCAAAGUGACCAAACUUCAGGGACCAAAAUGGCAGUUUACUAACAUAUAAAAGAUAAGAUUUAAUGGUUGCCACGCUCAAAAAGGUCGCCUAGGCGAGUGCUUUUGAUAACAGUGAUUCCAACUCAAUCUCUCUCUCUCUCUCUCUCUCAACUUUAUAAAUUUCUUCGUCUUUUUUUAUAAAUUUAGCCAUGGAUCCGUACAAUCGAAACAACCCAAACCCGAACCCAAACCCAAACGUUUUCUCGGUACCUGGCUACUAUCCAACAAUGGAUUCGAGUUGGUCGGCAAAGCCCUAACGCUUUCACUCAAAUGAACGUUUUCACUCAAAUGAACGUUUUCAAUCAAAUGAACCAAAUGCAAUCCAUGCAACAAAUGUUAAUGCGAAAUCCGUUCAACUCGCAUUUUCAUUCUCAACCACAACCUUCACCGCCACCGGUAGAAUCGUCUCAACCCGUAGAAGAUGAAGUUGAAGAAUAUGUGCCGGAGACGCAACCCCAAACCUCCAAACAAAAAAAAGGAAGCACGUGGCGCAUCUAGCCGGUGAUCAACCUUCGAGAGCGAAGGCAAAGAUCGAGGAGGAGGCGUUAGCUAAGGCGUGGAUUAGCACGUCAAAAUGCCCAAUGGAUGGAAACAACCAAAUCGGCGAUGGUUUCUGGAAAGAAACACCAGCAAAAUUCCUUGCGAUUUGGAACAAGGUCCGUCUCGCGAUCUCUUCGAAGUGGCGAAAGAUGCAUCCGGUCGUGAACCGAUUUUGCGGGUAUUAUAAUAAUUUAUAUGUUAAUCGUCCAAGUGGGUGGAGUGACAAAAGUGUUUUUAAAGAGGUGAUGCGUAGAUACGAAGAUGAGCAUCGGCAGAUUUUCCCACACGUCCGGGCAUGGGAGAUUAUGCGAACAAAUAAGAAGUGGGUGCCGGUUCCAAACGAAGUUUCAAGCACUAAACAGACGAAAACCUGACUGGAAGUUAUUGUGCGAGGGGCUUGGACGCAUGAUGUCUUAGAAUUUUUUUAUUUUUAGCA
Long non-coding RNA from Helianthus annuus (common sunflower), 1666 nucleotides. RefSeq lists it as uncharacterized. The record is from RefSeq and is a predicted model, not a curated record. Lineage: Eukaryota; Viridiplantae; Streptophyta; Magnoliopsida; Asterales; Asteraceae. The transcript is spliced from 3 exons.